Molecule: unclassified non-coding RNA, 259 nt
Filed under: fungal sp.
Lineage: Eukaryota; Fungi
Description: partial internal transcribed spacer region
Rfam family: Eukaryotic small subunit ribosomal RNA (bases 1-46)
Source: RNAcentral
AAGUCGUAACAAGGUUUCCGUAGGUGAACCUGCGGAAGGAUCAUUAACACGUAUCCACGUAUCAACCCCUAGUGUCACGAGUGCGCGUUUGUUUUACUACAGUGCGUGCUCAGUUUUCUACUUUUUUUCCACAAUGAAUUUUAACCACUUGAACCCAUCAGACUAAAACUAUUUCGUGCUUUUUUUUUGCGCAAGCGAGAAAGAACCGAAACAAUAAAAUAACAAGAAACAACUCUUAGCGACGGAUUUCUUGGCUCCC